RNAcentral lists this transfer RNA (106 nucleotides) under Candidatus Bathyarchaeota archaeon. RNAcentral's name for it is "tRNA-OTHER". The record is from RNAcentral. Lineage: Archaea; Thermoproteati; Candidatus Bathyarchaeota.
GGGCCCGUCGUCUAGCUGGACAAGGACACAGAAAAAUUUACUGCCAGGAAAUUGUGUAGGCCUUCGGAGCCUGGGAUCCGGGGUUCGAAUCCCCGCGGGCCCGCCA